This is a long non-coding RNA of Hemicordylus capensis (graceful crag lizard), 373 nucleotides long. RefSeq lists it as uncharacterized. The transcript has 4 exons. The record is from RefSeq and is a predicted model, not a curated record. NCBI's taxonomy places the organism in Eukaryota, Metazoa, Chordata, Lepidosauria, Squamata, Cordylidae.
UGUGAGGGAACCUUUUAGUCCAAUUGGCAGGGGUGUGCUGGUUUUUCCCAUCCUCGCCAGGAUGGAUCACAGCACAGGGGACGGCUUCUUAAGGAACCUUGACAGAGAUGCCGUUUCCUUGUAAACAAGUUUAAUACCCUGUCUGCAGGUUGUAACAGGUUGUCAUAGAGAAUAACGCUGAUGGAACCUGAUCUGAAUUGCACUUGGACCACUGCAGUUCAUUGAGUGAAGUGAUUCUACUGAUUGGCAUUGAAAGCAUCAUCUGGUCUUUCACCUCCAGUGUGCAGGAUAAGCACAACAUUCUGUAAGAACACGAAGCAUUUCAAAUACCGUAUUUUACGGACUAUAAGACUCUAUGGACUAUAAGACACAC